Molecule: ribosomal RNA, 253 nt
Filed under: uncultured bacterium
Lineage: Bacteria
Description: partial 16S ribosomal RNA
Rfam family: Bacterial small subunit ribosomal RNA
Source: RNAcentral
UACGUAGGGCGCAAGCGUUGUCCGGAAUUAUUGGGCGUAAAGAGCUCGUAGGCGGUUUGUCGCGUCUGCUGUGAAAACCUAAGGCUCAACCUUGGGCUUGCAGUGGGUACGGGCAGACUAGAGUGCGGUAGGGGUGACUGGAAUUCCUGGUGUAGCGGUGGAAUGCGCAAAUAUCAGGAGGAACACCGAUGGCGAAGGCAGGUCACUGGGCCGCAACUGACGCUGAGGAGCGAAAGCAUGGGGAGCGAACAGG